This 497-nucleotide ribosomal RNA is filed under the name uncultured bacterium. RNAcentral describes it as "partial 16S ribosomal RNA". It matches the Rfam family "Bacterial small subunit ribosomal RNA", at positions 28 to 507 of the family's 1533-position model. The record is from RNAcentral.
GAUGAACGCUGGCGGCGUGCCUAAUACAUGCAAGUCGAGCGAACAGACGAGGAGCUUGCUCCUCUGACGUUAGCGGCGGACGGGUGAGCAACACGUGGAUAACCUACCUAUAAGACUGGGAUAACUUCGGGAAACCGGAGCUAAUACCGGAUAAUAUAUUGAACCGCAUGGUUCAAUAGUGAAAGACGGUUUUGCUGUCACUUAUAGAUGGAUCCGCGCCGCAUUAGCUAGUUGGUAAGGUAACGGCUUACCAAGGCGACGAUGCGUAGCCGACCUGAGAGGGUGAUCGGCCACACUGGAACUGAGACACGGUCCAGACUCCUACGGGAGGCAGCAGUAGGGAAUCUUCCGCAAAGGGCGAAAGCCUGACGGAGCAACGCCGCGUGAGUGAUGAAGGUCUUCGGAUCGUAAAACUCUGUUAUUAGGGAAGAACAAAUGUGUAAGUAACUAUGCACGUCUUGACGGUACCUAAUCAGAAAGCCACGGCUAACUACGUG